Long non-coding RNA from Gallus gallus (chicken), 535 nucleotides. The record is from Ensembl. NCBI's taxonomy places the organism in Eukaryota, Metazoa, Chordata, Aves, Galliformes, Phasianidae.
UGGCAGUAUUGGAGGAGGAAAACUGAAGAGACUGAGCUUCUAGCAGUGGAUUGAGUUGAAUGAAACAAGCUAACUAGUAGGAGAGAAGCUGGCAUGAGCUGGAAACUGCAACAAGCUGGCUUAGGCGUUGUUUUGAAGCUGGAAGUGAAAGGAGGCUCACAGUGUUGAUAAGAGGAACUGAGGGGUAAGGAAGAAACCGUGAUCAAAUUGAUAAUGGAGAAGGGAGACGGUAGUGAAACGAUGAUGUCCCUCCUUGUUUCUAGGCUGGAUAUGUCUCUCAUUGGGAAGGGACUGGAUAUUUGCUUUCUGGUUCACUUUACUCCAUUUCUGGCUGCUCAGCAUGCCCCAGACAAUGAUGCAGAAGGUCAGUGAUGGUAAUGCAAGGAGUCAUUUGAGGAAUCUGAAGAGAGAACAGAAAGCUGAUGACAACUCUAAGAUACCUGACCUGCUCUAGGAUUACAAGAGCCCCCAUUCCUGUUACACGACAGAGGUCAGAAUUUACUGGCAUCAGCGGCAGCUGCUACAGAGAGCAAAG